Molecule: long non-coding RNA, 2565 nt
Organism: Sycon ciliatum
Lineage: Eukaryota; Metazoa; Porifera; Calcarea; Leucosolenida; Sycettidae
Exons: 3
Source: RefSeq, a predicted model, not a curated record
CCGAAUGUGGUGCAAGGUUGAUCAGCGAUUGUUAGAGUCUCCAUUUGUUUUACGAAACUUCUAAUAAUAACACAGGCCGGUGAACUAGCUGCAGGGGAAGAGCGUCUGCGUGAGGUCUUCCAACAAGUUCAACAACUGAAGGCUAUGCAAAGACUGCAUUGAUUUUUGCUGUCAACAAUUCGAUCAAGUUUAAAGUUGCCUCGUCCGCAAUCAAUCACUCGGACGUCAUGGUUGGAUGCGAUGGAAGAAACCGUUCCAUUCUAGCCGUUUUCCUCCUCAUCCUCUUUGCGGCAUGCCUGAUAGGCGGAGCGGUCCUGAUUGCUGAGGGAGUCAACGCUGGACCAUAUUAUCGCGGGUUCCUAAUUGCGUGUGGAGGUGUCUGCUUGCUCAUUUGUAUACCUUUUGGCCUCGCAGGCUGUGUGCUUGGGUGUCAGGUCCGAAUUGAGAGUCAAAAUUUCAACAGAGCUCUGAGGCAAUGUGCCCAUGAAAGCGCAAGCAUAGCCCAGCCAGGUAGAAUAGGAACUGCUGCAGCUGCUGCUCCCGGCGCCGCCGUCAUCCCGAACGCAAUCAUCCUACCCACUAACAAUCCAGUUGGACCGGUAAUGGCAAUGCCAGUCACACAUCCUGCUUAACAAUUACAUUAUAUUGUGGCAAACGACUACUGAUCCCGAACACAACCAGCAAUAGCAACAUGAGCAGCGACAGGCGUAGCAGCAGCAGCAACAGGAGCAGCAGCAGGAGCAGCAACAACAGCCUCAGGAUGAGCAAACCACCGCAUCCGUCCCCUCUGCGCCGCCGUUACUGGAAUCUGCCAGGAACGAUGCUCCUCCAAGCUAUUCACAAGCAUUUUCCACUGAAGUCUUAGUGACUAACACAAAAGAACUGUUCACGCCUUGUUUGUACUACGGAACAGGUACAUGUAAUAAUAAUAAUAAUAAUAAUAAUGGUAUACAAGUAAGAACUAAGCGUGACAAGUGUGUAUCAGCAACAAAAAAACAAAAAAGUGAGAACGAAUGAUAAUAAUAACAAUAAUAAACAAGAAGUUUUCUGCACACUUUUGUGAGAAAUAAUAAUAAUAAUAACUUUAUUAGGAAAACCCAAAGGCUGAACGCCUAUCGUGGGGUCCGUCGCAUUCAAGGAUGUGUAAUGUGUUGCCCGAACCAUGAUUAACGUGAAACUAGGAGGUACACCACCAUGCAAUGUACAAUGUACAUGCAAGUCUAGGAUCUUCUCUCACUUCUGUCUGCUUUAUAAUAGUCUCAGGGGCGGAUCCAGGAGGGGUUCCAGGGGUUCCGCGGAACCCCCUAAAUUUCGUAUUUGUACUACUGGCCACCAUACUCGCGUCCAUGUACAUGUAGAUGUACAUGUAUCCGACUGAGCUACUUACUAGCAUUCAGUUUUGAGUCUUUUGACUAUACUGGAAACCCCCUCUAGAGAUCGCUGGAUCCGCCGCUGAGUCUUAUCCUUCUACAGCAGAUAUCUCUUUAUUGGAUUGCAAUAGAAUCGUCUUAGCUUUUUGGCAAUCCGUUACAUUAAAUUUUGAAAUCUACACGUGUAUCAUAUACACUGUAGGGUUGGGGUUCGAAGCUUCCCAGAUGUUUCCUAAAAUGCAUUAUGACACCUCGCUUUCAAGAAACACUGGGAAGUUCACUUAUCUUGGACUUCUCCGGGGCCAAUUGUUUCGUAUAACGUGCGUCAAUCCAAAUCUUUUUUUAUUAAGUUGCGUUUCCCAACCCUUUCCGCAAUGUGUAGAACCCCAGUGCUAAAGCAGUUCCCCAUACCCAUUCCAUGCAAUGAGGCGGAGAACUCAGUGAUGACGAGUUGUGGCACACAAUAUUUAACAAUUACAUUUCCAAGCCAGCGACCGUCCCAGUCGCAAAGCCCAGGCAACUAUUUCCCAUACAUACGGAGGUGGCACCGAUCAGAAAUCAUCACCACGAGCAACAGCAAGAGGCGCAGCAGCAGCAGCAGCAGCAGCAGCAACAACAGUCUCAGGAGCAGCGGGAUGUGCAAGCCACCUCUUUGGCCCCCUCCGCGCCGCCGUUAGAGUCAGCCAACAACGAUAUUCCUCCGCGCUAUUCCCAUUUAUUUGUGGCUAGUCCACGUCUUAGUAAUUGACACAAAGGCUAAUCACAGUGGUAUACUUUUUGUAGCAUUGUACAGCAUUUGUAUAAACAUUAAGUUGUGUCUAUGCCACCACUCCGACAAGGCGCCCAACCGCAAAACCACCAGCAAGAGCAGUGGAAUCAGUCAUGCUACCAGCAACAGCAGUGGAACCAGUCACGGUACCAGCAACAGCAGUGGCAGCAGCUACUGUAGUCUGCAGUGGCAGCAGCAGAGGCCGCAGCAGCAGCAAUAGUGGCAGUAAUAGCUGUCUCUGCCGCAUCAGCACCAACCUCAACAUUAGGAGCAAUAGCAGCAGCACCAGCAGCAACAGCAACAUACAAACACUUAAUUGACAGUAGCCGGAGUAAGCAGCUGCCCUAUUCCGCUUUGCAUCACUGGAUCAUCCCAGCAGCUAUUUUUCAAUAUUGACAAAAGAAUCAUGAUACCUACGUAACUUGA